This 330-nucleotide long non-coding RNA is filed under the name Linum usitatissimum (flax). RNAcentral's name for it is "long non-coding RNA (LUSI_LNC004000)". Lineage: Eukaryota; Viridiplantae; Streptophyta; Magnoliopsida; Malpighiales; Linaceae. The record is from RNAcentral.
UGCGACUAUAAGGUGUAAUAACGCAUAAAUCAUCUGAAGUCUGACAUUCCAGUAAAUAGAAAUAACCAAACUGAGUACAUAACAUCACGAUGAAAAGUAAAAACGAGUCUCUAAUACAAAGUCUAAUAUAAAGAAAGUACACAAACCGAAGUUUCAAAUCACGACGACCUCGUCUCUGGUGCCGGUAGUCCACAUAUAGGUCGUCUCUGGUGCCGGUAGUCCACAUAGAGGUCUACAAGCUGGUAGCGUAUCCCUUCCAUCUGCUAAACUGAGUUCACUUAAUAAACAAUUUCCUAACAACAUACAUUAUUAGCAAUCACAUUAUCAGUA